This 117-nucleotide small RNA is filed under the name Marmota monax (woodchuck). The record is from RNAcentral. Lineage: Eukaryota; Metazoa; Chordata; Mammalia; Rodentia; Sciuridae.
GCCAGGCAUAGUGGCAUAUCCCUGAAAUUCCAGCUACUUGGGAGGCCAAGAUGGGAGGAACACUUGAGGCCAGGAAUUUAAGACCAACUUGGGCAACAAAGGAAGACCCUGUCUUAU